AUGAAUCAUUGGUUGAGCAAUAGACCUAUUGAAUAUCCCUUGGCGGUUGAGCAUCUGCAUUCAUCAAGGUUUGGGCAUCUCCUGCCUUUAUUUCUCAUAGAGAUUGAAGGUGGUAGAGCUGUGGGAUUAAUGCCCUGUUUUCAGUAUGUAAAAGUGGCUGGCGAGCUUGGCCCAAGGAAUGCCCUUUGUUCAGCUUUAGCAUCGGUUUUACGCACCGUGUGCUGUUAUGUCAUGCGUGCCACAUUUCUAUUGGAGAUUACCAUCUCUGGAUUUUUUUUCAUGGUAACUGUGUCAGGGUUAUCCCUUUUCGAGAAAAAAAUUGUGUGGCGCCAGUAG
This 336-nucleotide ribosomal RNA is filed under the name Triticum aestivum (bread wheat). RNAcentral's name for it is "partial small subunit ribosomal RNA". The record is from RNAcentral. Lineage: Eukaryota; Viridiplantae; Streptophyta; Magnoliopsida; Poales; Poaceae.